UUAACCUAGGAACUUUCAGUACGUAGGAUCUAAAAUGAUCAUAUAAGAAAGCAUGGAUAAGCAUGAUAGGUCAUAAUUUAUAACUAAUGUGGAAAUUGAGAUACAUGAUUACUUGACAAGAAAUAGAUUCCAACUGGAAAAUACAUACAGGAGUAGACUCUAGACUUCACUAAAAUGACAAACUCGAAUUCAUAUCACUUUAGUUAUGUGAAUGAAUACGAUAGACUACAAUGGAACCCCUAAAGACUCAAUGCAGAUAAUUGAUUCCCUUUAUUCUUAGAUUUAUUGAAAGUUUCAUAGCCAAGCAUGUUCAAGGACGUGGGUUUGUUCCUGCAAUGCCAGCACCACGACCUGCUGGAAUUGGCACCUCAAAACCAGGGUUUGGAACGAAUGUGUCAUCACUACCUGGAAGCUGGCGAUUUCCACCAAUUGUGCUGCCAACAUGGCGGCCACUGCUGCCGGUGUGGGUGCCAGUGCCGAUGGUGUGUGGAUUGUGAUGUUUGAAAAUUGGUGGCAGCAACACUCGUCCAAGGCCUGGAAUGAGCACACUACGGUCAUGUUUUAGAAAUUCAGGUUGUUUCAUUUGAUCAUCAUUCUUCGAGAUGUCACGUGCUGCAAUGGCUUGCCCAGCAAUAACAAACAGAAUGCUGAGCAUGAAAACGUGAGUAAGCAAGGAACUAAUUUUGCAAUCCAUUAUCAGAGUAAGUAAGAGUGAGAGCUAGGAUUGGUUCUGAUAUGAUGGGGAGAAGGGAUUAAAUAAUGCUUCUUAUAGAGAAGGUCUAAGUGAGUUGGUUGAUCAAUUGGCGGUGAGUUAGAAAGAGCAUUCCAUUUUAAAAGCACCAUUGAAGGAGACGUCCCAUAAAAACAGAAGCAAAGCAUGCAAUAAUUAGCAUGAAUUGCAUGGGUAGGUUAGGUGGCUUAGGGUUUGCCAUGUUGGGUGAGGUUUUUGGGUAAGUUAUGAGAUUUUUCUCUUCAAAGGCUAUGUGUAUCUAUACUAAAAACGCUUAAAUUAUAUUUACAUUAUGUUUUUAUACUAUAUUUUGACUAAUUCAUUCUUUCACCACAACUCUAUUGGAAACUCAGAUGAAUAUGUAUCUGUCAUGGAAGAUCCACAACUUGUAAUUAUCUUUUCUUUUGUCGGUUUAAUUCAACUUAAUAUUAAUUGAAAACAUGUAAACAAAAAAAUCAUACAAAAAUAUAUAUUUGACAUUGGAGUGAUAACAAAAGCUUUGUUAUGUUGUAAAUUCAAUGAAUAAUAGGCAUGUAUAGCAUACAAUGAAAAAAAUGUACAUAAACAUUUUAGUAAAAAAAAAAACACUUUGAUACCAUAUUAAAAUAGAUAUAAAAUUAUUUAAAACAAAAAAAGUUAAAUUGACUAGAAAAAACCUAAUUUAUUAUUGGUGAGAAUAUGGUCUAAGCACUUAUACUUUUUACACUAGUUCCUCUACUUAUAUUUCUACUAAUUUAUUACACGUAUUUUUUGAAUUUAAAAAUUUAAGUUCAAGUAUUAACCCUGUUAAAAUUAUUUAAUUAAAUUCAUUAAUAAAAUAUUUUAAAAUAAAAAAACUCACUUGAUAGUUAUGUAACAAAAACAAAUGAUAUUAUAAUAGGAUUAAAUUUAACAAAAAAUUAACAAUUAAACUUGUAUUUUUAAAUUCAAAAAAUAAAGAUACUAAAUUUUUUAAAAAAUAAAUUGAAAGAUUAAAUUAUAUGAAAAAAUAUAUAUAUAUAACACAUAUUUAAAUUUAAAUUUGAAUAUGAUGACCCACAAAUAGUGACUUGCAAAAUGUUGACUGCUACCAAAUAAAACGGAGCAAUAAAGGAUUUGAUGCAUAAAGCCUAGAGGUGUAAACCAUUUUGCUCACAUGGAUAUAUUCAAUGUGUGUAUAAAUAUGGGUGAAAUGAGAAUUGUCUAUUUAUAUUAAAGCAAUGCUUAUUUAGCUUGCAUUUUUACAUUUAAAAAAACUAAGGCUCCUUUUUAUUUUAAAACUGGUAUUUUUUAUUUUUAAAAUUAAAAAACAUCUUCGGUAAAAAGAAAAAUUUUCAGUAAUAUAAAAAUACGAUUCAUAUUUAUUUCCUAUAAUAGAAACAUGAGAAAAAAAAUAAUUUUUUUUAAAAAAAUACUAAAAAUCAUAGAAAAGUGUAAAACUUUUUAAAACAUUACAAAUUUUGCAGUGUGCAGUGUGUUUGCUUAAUCUGUUGGGUAGUAGAUAUUUGGUAGUAUUUAACAGUUUGAAGUUGCAAAAUAAAGAAAUGUCAAAUCAUGGAUUUUUUAUCAUUCAAGAUACAAAAUUUCAAAAAGGCUAAUAAAAAAUAUUAUGCUUUUCGACAAAAAAGAAGAAGCUUGUACUUGUUUUGGAGAAAUAAGAAAAUCUUAUAUGAGUAGUUCUGCUAAAAAUGUAUUUAUUAAGACAUUUUAUUAGUCAGCAAGGCCAUUAAGUUGAGGUUUUAAAAGGGUUAAUAUCACAAAUUGCCAAACAUAGGACAUGGAACAUUUGUUUCUUUGGUGCCAAUUUGCUCGAGCAAUAUGAAGUUAUUUGGGGUUCAAGUCAUGCAGGGUUUGGUCCAAUAUUUUAUCAUCACGAGUCGAAAAUCCUUCAAUGCAAUUAAAAUCCAAGUCCAACCAGCACAAAACCGAGGCGAAGGGGGACAGAUACAUGGUUAACAAAGCUUAAUCAUACGAUAGGACCAAAUUGGGAGUGAGAAGGAAAUGGGGACAGGAGGAAGAUUGGUCAGAGAAUGUGGAAAAGGAGAACAGAUUAGUAGCUAAAACCGACUCCAAGAAGCUGGGAAGGGGUUUCCAUCAUGAAAUGGUAGCUAAAAGUGAAGAAACUCGGGGAGGUUCUACAGUUUCACGGGUAGACAGAACAAAUAGAACUAGUAAAAGGAGCCAAUUAUGUUAAUAUGGUAUUUUCCUUAAUCAUAUAUUAGCUUUUUGAUAAAAAUAAAUGGCCUCAAAUGGGUCUUAGCCAAUCUGCAUUCUCUUCAGCUGUCACCUUUGGCAUGACUUUGUUGUAUUUUCCCUCAUUACUGGAAUUGGGUCCCCUCAUCUUAAAUGUGAAAGCAUUCCAGCAUUUUAAUAAUUGACAUAGAAAAGAAUGUUUUAAGGCUGUGAUUUUUAUUAAAACCACCAUUUUGCCAUGUCAUUGUAGUUAAUGAACAGAGUAGCAUACUUUUUUUUGGACAAUGUGCAAGUUCUCUUUUUCAAAUUCAUAGACACGUACAGUGACGCUCCUCUAGGGUAUUGCUAAGUGCCCAUUUUAUAUAGUCUAAUGUUCCCUAAUAUUAGUUUCAAAUUACCAAAUCUGUUUAAGGCAGGAACUUUUAGUAGGAUCUAAAAUGAUCAUAUAGGAAAUCAUUAAUAAGUAUAAUAGACCACAAUUGAUAACUAAUUUGGAAAUUCAGAUGCAUGAUGACUUGGCAAGAAAUAGUUUCCGACUAGAAAAUGCAUACAGGACUAGGAGUAGGCUCUAGACUUUAAAAUGACAAACUCGAAUUCAUAUAAUUUUAAUUAUGUGAAUGACUACGAUAUAUUACAAUGGGACCCCGAAAGACUCAAUGUAGAUAAGUGAUUCCCUUUAUUCUUUAAUUGAUUGAAAGUUUCAUAGCCAAGCAUGUUCAAGGACGUGGGUUUGUUCUUGCAAUGCCAGCACCACCACCUGUUGGAAUUGGCACCUCAAAACCAGGGUUUGGAACGAAUGUAUCAUCACCACCUCGAAUCUGGCGAUUUCCACCAAUUGUGCUGCCAAAGUGGCCUCCACUGCUGCCGGUGUGGGUGCCAGUUCCGAUAGUGUGUGAAUUGUGAUGUUUGAAAACUGGUGGCAACAACACUCGUCCAAGGCCUGGAAUGAGCACGCUACGGUCAUGUUUUAGAUAUUCAGGUUGUUUCAUUUUAUAAUCAUUCUUCGAGAUGUCACGUGCUGCAAUGGCUUGCCCGGCAAUAGCAAACAGAAUGCUGAGGAUGAAAACAUGAGCAAGAAGCAAGGAACUAAUUUUGCAAGCCAUUAUCAGAGUAAGUAAGAGUGAGAGCUAGGAUUGGUUCUGGUAUGAUGGAGAGAAGGGAUUAAAACGAUUCUUAUAGAGAAGGUCCAAGUGAGUUGAUUAAUCCAUUGGCGAUGAGUUAAAAAGAGCAUUCCAUUUUGAAAGCACCAUUGAAGGAGACGUCCCAUAAAAACAGAAGCAAAGCAUGCAAUAAUGUAGCAUGAAUUGCAUGGGUAGGUUAGGUGGCUUAGGGUUUGCCAUUGUAGGUGAGGGUUUUCGGUGAGUUAUGAGAUUUUUCUCUUAAAAGGCUAUAUGUAUGUGUGCUAUAAAUGUUCAAUUUAAAUUUAAAUUUACAUUUUGUUUAAUGCUAUAUUUUGACUAAUUCUAUUUUUUCUAUCAUGCCCCAAAAACUAGGUUAGAAGAAUUGGUUUUGUGAAAACCGAGAGUGGAUACGCCUUGAUUUAUAAGGUUAUCUUUGUGCAUUUAUAAAUCGAGGGUUUGAAAUGGGGACCAAAAUUAGGGUUAUAAUAAUUAAUUAAAGUAUUAAAAUAAUAUAAUAAGGUUUUAUUAUAUUAAUUAAUCUAAAACGAAACUUGAUGACGAGGUUUAAUUUGAAAAUAGUGUGUUUUAAUUGAGUUAGGAUCUAAUUGGAAAAUGGGUAAAACAAGGAGUGACCAAAAAGGGCAAAUUGCUCAAUUUUUGGGAAAUUAGUCUUCCACUAGAAAUUUCCGUCUUUUUCCCUCUCCUAACCUAAACCCCAUCCUAUGUUCCUACAGUAAGUACAUCAAGAAUUUUUACCUUGUUUAAUUCCAAAUUAGUUAUAAAUUAUGAAAAUGAAAUAGUUUAAUUACUAAUCUGUUAAUGUUAUAUGUAGAAAUUAUUAGUGAAUACUAAUGAGUAUGAUUCAAAUUUUAUUUUAUGUUAUGAAAUUUAAGUAAUUUACAAUAAUAGUGUGAAAUUGACUAAAUCAUAAAGUUAAUAAAGUAUGUCAUGACAUUGUAUAAAGUAGAAAGAGGUUUUAAAUGAAGAAGUGUUAAAGUUAUGGUGUUAUAUGUGAUAAAUGUGUAAGCUAAUAAAUAAUAUGUAAGUUGAGUCCCUUCCUCCCAUUUUAUUAUUUUAGACAAACUAGGAAAAAGUCACACCUUGAAAUAAAUAUAUAUAUAGUUAAGAAAUGAGAUUAAACAAGAAAUAGGCUUUAGCUUUAAUGGUUAAGAGUUAGCUUCCCUCUCUUGUGAUUUCAGGUUUGAACCCCUUCUUCCCCUUCUAUUUUAGGAAUUCGGCCAAUCUCCAAAAAUAAAGCAAUACUUACAAUUAAGUGUCUAAAUUAAGUAAGAAAUAGGUUUGAGGCUUAAUGGUUAAAUAGUUGGUUUCCCCCUUGAUAACCCAAGUUUGAGCCUCCUCCUCCUCCCCUUUCAGUUUAAUUUCAAAUUUCAGAAAAAUAUUAGGAAAAUUGCAAGUGCAACCCCUAGGGUUCACAAACCCUAGGAGUUUAACCAAUUCUUUCCUAAUUAGAAUCCAUAUCUUGCUCUUCCUCAAAAUUCUAAUAGAAUUAGAAUUCCACCAUCUUUUUCUUCUUUUCAUAGUUAGAUUUUCAUAUUGCCCCUUUUCAAAUCCUAAUAGAAUUUUCUCUCCAUCUUUCUAUUUAUGCUCUUUUUAUUUUAUUUUCCUUUUCUAUACAUCAUAUUUUUAUCCUAAUUGUUGAUAAUUAUUUUUCUUUCCCGAAUCAAAUAAUCUUCCAUUCAGUCGUUCUUUCUAUCGAUUUUGUAAUUUUCGUCAAUAGCAUCCCUACCAAGAAUCGGUAAGUACAUCUCAUUUUCGAUGUUUAGAUCUUGAAUUUUCGUAGUAUUUGUAUCCAACUCUAAUCUUACAUUUGAUUAAACAAUCUUUUUUUGGUUCUUGUCAAACCUUUCGAUAAUCUUGUCGAAUCUUGAAAUCAAUCAUUAAUUCAUGUGCAAAUGUCAUUUGAAGGAUCGUGUUCUGGUGAAUCAGAUCAGGAUCAGGCAUGAGGAACAUCGAUCAGACUCCCGGUGAAAGGUGUGUGUGCUUUUACAAGCGAAUUGGGUCAAACCGUGCUUAACGUUAGGGUCACAUGAGCGUGUGAACCACACGGCCCCUCACACUGCCAUAUGCCUCUGAAGCUCUAGGAUAGUUCAAAUCUCACACAGCCAAGAACCCUCCGCACGUCCAUGUCUACCCUAUAGGUAAAUUUUUGCAAAUGUCAUGGUGACAAUUUGUUACACGGCUUGGCCACAUGGUUGUGUAACCCUUCCACACGACCUAUAUCACCUCACAUGGCCUGACCACAUGGCCGUGUGUCCUCUAUUUAUAGUUUUGCCCAAAAAUUUAUGUUAUAUGCAAUUUAGUCCUUGAAUACUCCCGAAACUAUUUUUAGUGUCUUAUUUUAUUCAAUUGAUCCCCUAAAAAUAUAAAUAAUGUUAGAAUCCAUUAUUUGAUUGACUGAAUUAUUAUAUUUAUGCAUGAUAUGUGAAUAAUAUAUAUGUAUGUUGCAUCUAUAUUUCUGAUUGUACGUUCAACAUGCCUCAUGAUACAGUUAAAUCAAAUCCAUGAAAAGUAAAUUCUUUGCUACUGUACUGAUUAGUUAAAAGCAUAUCUAUUGCUGCCAUAUUGAUAUGUUAUAAGCAUAUUACUCGUUGUCGUUUUUAUUUGUUAUAAGCAUGUCAUAUUACAUAUCAUAGGGCAAGACGCUUUGAAAAGAGGAAGUUCUGGCAGAUUAAUUAUCUGCAACUCUAGUGAUUCAUCCACAACUUAUCUAGAAACUUUAAUCUGCAAAUAUGUUGUGCAUUCACAACCAUCUGACAACGUAUUAACUUGCAACACUGGUGGUUCAUCCACCCAUAUUCUGGCAACUUUCAUAUGCAAAUAUGUUGUGUAUUUAGAGCCAUUUGACAGUGUAUUAACCUGCAACACUGGUGGUUCAUCCACCCACAUUCUGGAAACUCUUAUAUGCAAAUAUGUUGUGCAUUCACAACCAUCUGGUAGCAUAUUAACCUACAACUUUUGUGGUUUAUCCACAACCCAGUGUGUAGGGGUGGAUGAGUUCUGGGGAACUUUACUAUGGUGUGUAGCGGUGGGGUAGAAUCUUUUUUGUUAAACCAAAUCUGUAUUGUAUUCAUAAAGCAUGUGCAUACAAUUUUGAUAUUUCUGAGAUGAUAUAUGUAUAUGUAUAUACAUUGUUGCGUUGAUAUGAUAUAUCGAUAUUCUUAAAAUACUACUAUGAAUUAUACUAUGUAAUGUGAUUUUGUAUGUUAAUCGGUUGCACUGGUUUUCUUGUAAUGGAACUCACACUAGGCUUCAUUGCUCACUGCCAUUUUAUUUCCAUUUUCUACAGAUAACCCACCAGGUUAAGACGCAAACACAACAUUCGGAGGGUCUCGACUCAAUUUUGUUAAAAUAUUUUAGAUUUAUUAUUUGAUAUUUUUGUUAUUCAGAGACUGUAUUGUUUUAUUCUUGAUUUGUGGCAUGAGACUCAGGUUUUGGGUUUUUAAAUAGCUUGCAUGACAUUUAAUUUGAGUUUAGAUUGUUGAAAUAUGAUUUUUAAUUAUUUAUGCAUAAGAUCUGAAUUUUUAGUAAAGAAAAACUAAGUUAAAUAUCACUUUUCCGCUGUUUGAUUGUAAUUAAAAUUGUGGUAAUAGAUUAUUGGAAAACUAACUAAAUUUUCUUAAAAUUAGUCAUUGACACAUAGGAAAGUUAAUCUAAAUCAGUUUUUCAUAACUCGUGAACUUUUCUGAAAAUAGAUUAAGUUUUUACUAAAAUAAACGACUUUUUUUAAUAAUGGUUGUUUUAUAAUCUCUGAUACCUCUGCUAGGCUAUUUUGGUGGCUAAUGUAAUCUUCUGAAUUCGGGCAUAACGUCUAGACCAAGUUGGAGAGAUUACACUUUCACUAUAACUCUACCAGCAAUUUAGAUGAAUAUGUCACUGCCAUGUAAGAUUUACCUUUCCUUUUCUCCAUCAUCAUACUCCACAACUUGCAUUGUCUUUUUUGUUGCUCUAGAAAUUAAGCAAUUCAACUUAAUAUUAAUUGAAAGGUUAAAAUGUGUAAUCGUAUAAAAUUUAAGAUUUAAUUUUUUGUAGUUUAAAAGUUAAAUCUUCAAGACUUUUACUUUGUUCAAUUCUAUAAAAAUUCUAGAUCAAUCAUUAUUGUUGUUGGUAGUUUUUUGUCAACAUCUGUCAAUUUAACAUGUUUAUUUUUUGUCAAUUAUAUUCUACAUCAUACGAGGAAAGUUUAAUCAAGAUUUCAAAUUGAAAAAUUUUGAUAGAAAAUACUCACAAAUUCAAAGACUAGACUGAAAUUUUUAAAUAAAAAAGCAGAACUUAUAUUUUAACUUUUUAAAUACUGAGAUUAAAUAUUAAAUUUUAUCAAAAUUUAAGCUAAUUGAAAACAUGUAAUAAAAAAAUCAUGCAAAAAUAUUUUACAUAGAAGCUUUAUUAUGUGAUAACCAAUAAUAGGCAUACAUAACACAGAAGAAAAUAAAGACUGAAGUUUGAUACCAUAUUAAAUUACAAUCAAAUUAUUUUUAAAAAUUAAAUUCAUUAGAAAAAAAACUUAAUUUAUUAUAGGUUAAAAUAUGCUCUAAAUAUUUAUAUUUUUGUAAAUUUAAAAUUUGGUUCCUUUAUUUAUAUUUUUAGGAAUUUAAUUUAUAUACUUUUUCAAAUUAAAGAAAAAACUUAUGUUCAUUUGCUAACAUGGUUAAGAUUUCACAUUAAAUUCGUUGUUAAAAUAUUUUGAAAUAAAAAAAAUACUUAUUUAAUAGUCAUGUAAAAAAAAACAAAUGAUAUUAUAAUGGACUUAAAUUAAAUAAAAAAAUUUAACGGUAUUAAUAAUUUUACUUGUAUUUUUAAAUAUAAAAGGUAAUGAAAUUAAAAUUUAAAAAAUAAAAAUAAAUAUAAAUAUAAAGAAUUGUAGCACAUUUUAACUUUUAUUAUAUUUAAAUUUGAACAUGGUGUCCCACAAAAUGUUAAAUGCUACCAAAUAAAACGGAGCAAUAAGGGAUUUGUAUUAAAGGAAUAAUAAUUUUUUUGGCACUUAUAAAAAAGAAGUUAUUUUAGUUUUUUAAUUUUUAGUCUUUAAAUUGUUUUUGUCAAAUCACCUUAAAAUAGAUGAAAAAGUUAACAUCCUUUAAUUUCACUGAUGUGAUAUACACUUAAAUGACACAUUAACAUUUAAUUAAAAUUUUAAAUUUUUAAAAUUUCAAAAAAAUUAUAAAAAAUAUUUUUAAAAUUUUUAAAAAAUUAAUUCAAUAUUGACAUGUAGUCCACAUGGCAAUCCACAUGUAUAUCAAGGGAAAUUUUGACAAAAAAUAUAAAUUUUAGAGCUAAAAAGAGGCCAAAAAUUAAUAGAAAAUUAAAAUGGCUUUCUAUUUAUAAAGUUGGGAGAACCAAAAAAAUCAUUAUAUCUAUAUUGAAUGCCUGCGUAAAUAUUUAGUGAAAUGAAAAUUGUCUAUUGAUAAUUUUAUACAUGCAUGUGGUUGAACUUGCAUUUUGUUUUUUAGAAAGAUAAAUAUAUUUUUAUUUUUUAGAGAUAAAUUUCAUUUUUUAAAAAUUAAAAAACAUAAAAUUGUUUUCAAUAAUACGAAAAACAAAGAACUAGGCAGUGGCUUUGGCCCUCCAAAAAUGGUAGAUUUAUUAUUUAUCUCUUUAAAAUUUUAUGAAAUUAUAUGUUAGUAUAAUGGUAAAAUUACUGGCCUCCAAUAAUUUAUUAUUCAUCUUUGGUCCUUUAAAGCAAUUUUUUGGCUUCACCCUUAUGUCACGAGGCUAGAAAUUUAGUUUGGCAAACUGCGCCGUCUUAGGUGAUUUCUUUGUUUCAAAUUUGUAUAAGUCAGUCUGACUCUUAGGAGGUGAGAAUUCUCAAAUAUACCAAAAUAAAGCGAAAGCAAACUCUCAAAAGCGAAAAAGCCAUAAGAAAGUUAAGCACGUCAAUUAUUUGAGUAAAUGCUCUUAAAAGUGUUAUAUUACUUUGAAGAAAUACAAUUGAAUGAUUACAAAUGAAGGGAAAUGUUUACAUUUAUAAUUGAGCUCUCUCAAAUCCGACGGUACAAUCUAAACUACAUUGACAGUCAAGAUUAAAGCUUAUUUACAAGAUGGGAGUCCUAAAGGAUUUAAACACUAUAUAAUCUUAUCCUUUAGAAUUUACAAUAUUCACCAUGAUAACUCUAGUUUUACUGAACUGUUUCACUGGGCCACCAAUGUUUCAAGUAAAUGGACUUCUCUAUGUGUUCCACAAAUCGGACUAGUCCAUGUGAGUUAAAUGAGCUUCAUUUAAUUAAUUGACUUCCAUGUAAUGGUUUGUAUGCAUUCGUCUUGAGCUUUGAUUCGUGACCUGUGACACUUACAUUUAUCCUACCAUAAAACUAAAGUUGUUUUACACAUUUUCCUAUAAUUUUGUAUGAUUAAUAUUUUAAUAAUCUAACUGUCAAAUUUUAUAUUCUAUUCAUAUAGAUUAUACAUGUCAAAUUUGACAUAUAUUAAAAAUUUUCUAACUAUUUUUUAUAUAAAACUUUUAAUCGAUAAAUAAAUGUUGGAAACUUAUUUGUGGCUUGGAAACCAGACUUUGAUAAUGGAAAAUGGGAAACUUCAAAGUUCAGAAAGCUAGUCUCAAGGAAUUAUUGCCGGUUUUAAAAUCAUGGAAAAGGGCCAUGGCCCAUGGGUAAUUCUGUACCACUGCCAAUUCUAACAGUUCAUCAUCGUCUUAAGUUAUAACAAUGAUAAAUGAUUUUAGAGAAUAAAAUUAGGUUUCCAAACCAUGUAGAAAAAUGCUCCAUAUAAUUUUUUAAUAGUUGGUUAAUAUUUGAACCAAAUUAUUAUUAAUUGAAUUAACUAAAAUUAUAAAAUUAUUAACUGUUAAUUUAGCUAAAAUAUUUCAAAAUUUUUUAAUCGGCCGAAAUAAUUUCGGUUUAUUCAAGCGGUUAAUCAAAUUAACUGAAAUUUUUGUUCAAAUAAAUUUGAAGCAUGAAAAAAAUACCGUUGCAAUGUUAUUUUUCUUUGCUGUUAAUUCAAAAAAGAAAACAAAAACAAUACUAAUUUAAAAUCAUCAUAACAAACAUUGUAUUGAAAACAAGAAAAUUUGAAACUUGAGCGAUGAAAUGAAACAAAAAAAUGGAAGAAUAGAAGAUGGUUUAGUGUUAAGCGGUGCCCACCCGAACUUUGUUUUGAGUUUGACAAUGGGAGGACAAAAUAUUAGGGCUACUUUCUUUACUUUUUUAAUUUAAAAAUAUGAUUUUAUGCCCAAUAUAAUAAUUUGUAUGAAUCCAAUUAGUUUAAAGCUUAUUCUUUAAUUUUUAUAUUUUGGGCUUACAUAAAAUAUUGGAUUUAUCUAAUAUAUUGGGCCUAAAAUAUUUUAUUUUUAAUAAUUUUGGUUGAUCGGUUAAUUAUCCGGUUUUAAAUCGAAUUAACCAUUAAUUAAAAUUUUAAAAAAUCCUUAACCGAUAUCCGAUUGAGUUAGAUUCGUUGGUUGAUUAAUUGAAAUAAUUUAGUUCGAUCAAUUAAUUUGGUUAAAACCCAAUUAUGAACACCUAUAUCAUUUGGGUUAUAAACAAGGUUGGGUAUUUCGUUCUGAUAAUAAACUAGAAUAAUAAAAUUUAGGUUUUAUUUAGGUGUAAGUAAAUUUCAUUUUGUAAUUUUGCUCCUACUGACCAUUACAAAAUUUUAUUUAUUUUUGAGUAGUUGGAUGCUGGAUUAUUAUAUACUUAGGGUUGGUUUAGUAUUGUUAAACACUUUUGAGAGAAAAAAAUACUUUUGAAAUAAAAACAUCGCUGAAUAAGAUGUUUUCAAGUUUUUCAAAAAUAUUUUUUGGGACCAUAAAAAAGAAGGAAAAAAAAUUUAACUGCUGUUCAAAAGUACUUUUUGAUCUAAAAACACUUUUAAAAAGUAAUGCUAAACUAAACCUUAAUUGAAAAUGAGAGCAUUGUUUAAUGUAUGAAAUAUUUUACUUGUUUAUUUUGAAUUUGUUUAAAAAUAAGUUAUAUCUAUGAAACUCAUUAAAAAUAUAUUUUAUGUAAUAAAUUUGAAAGAUAUUGAUAUUAAUAUAUAGCAGCACUCUGUGUACAUCGAUAUUGACUAUGUUGAAUAUAAAUCAAGUCUAAGACUUGGGCACAUUGAUGGAAUUAAGCCUCAAAUGUAUUGCCACUUGGAGGUUCUUAGAAAUAUAUCUAAGAUAUCAUUGGGUCCAUUCUCAUCCAAAAUUGGAUAAGGUGAUAAGCCCCCACGUAGCACAAACCCAAAGCUCUCCUCUUUUCAUUUCUCAAGCUACCAACACAAGUUCACUAGCCAACCAAAAACCAUGGCCUCCCCAACACUUAUAGCCCCAACUUCCAUGCUCAAACCCCUUCUUCCCAUCAAAGCCAGAGCCACGCAAACACCGCCAUCACCGCCACCGCACCAGCAACCCUUACGGCGUCAAUUCUUGUGUCUUGCUGCUGCUGCUGCCGCCACCACCACAGCAAGUCUUGCUCUUGGAGGGGUUCAGUCAGCAUUUGCUGCCUCGGAUGAGGAGUACGUGAAGGAGACUGCAGAAGUAAUCAACAAAGUGAGAAGCACCAUCAAUAUGGACAAGAAUGAUCCCAACAUUGCUUCUGCUGUAGCUGAGCUUAGAGAGGCAUCCAAUUCUUGGGUGGCUAAGUACAGAAGAGAGAAAGCUUUGCUGGGUAGAGCUUCUUUCCGUGAUAUGUACUCCGCAUUGAAUGCUAUUUCUGGCCAUUAUAUUAGCUUUGGACCAACUGCUCCAAUCCCUGCAAAGCGAAAGGCUAGGAUUCUUGAAGAAAUGGACACUGCCGAGAAAGCUUUAUCGCGAGGAAGAUAGAAUCACUAUUACUCUCACCAAAUGAAGCCGGAUGGAGUUCGAGAUUGUAAAUUGAGUUUCAGUUUGUGAAUUAGGACAAGGUAUCUUUUUUCCAUAUCAUGGUUACAAAUUACGUACAAUAUAUAUUUAUAUAUGUUGCUAGGAAUUGUAUAUCGACAGUCUUCCAUAUUGUCAGUUUAUGGAUAUCCAUCAGUUUUAACAUUUGAAGAAUUGUAUCUGACAUGUAUAUUCCAGGUAAUUAGGGCAAAUUUCCUCUGCCGUCAACAUGUAACAAUAGAGAUACGAAAACAAAUUAAAAAUUUCUGGCAAACCUGAAUUUAAAGGCAUUGCUAUAAUCAUAUUUUUAGAAAACAAUAAAACAUUAAACAGGUUUCAACCCCAAAAAAACAUUAAACAGGCAGGGCAGAAGAGCAUAAGCUUGUAGGGAUUUAAGAUGUGGUUUUAUAGGUCCCCAAUGAUCCUUCCUCAAUCAAUAAAGCAUAAUCCAGAAUCCAAAAUCUCAUUUUUGUGUUCAUCCAUAAGAAUGGUUCCUAGCAUGCACAAGCAAUUAGGCCCAUUUCAGGGCUUAGGCUGGUUUGUCAACCAUUUCCUGGGCUGAAUUCUAGUGUCACGGGCCCCGGAUCAUAGCCUAUAACGAUUGUGCAAAGAGCAUCCCAUGAAGGUCAAUCGAUUAAAUGGGGUUUAUUCGACUCAUUUGAACUAGCCUAAUUUGAGGAACAUGUAGAGAAACCCGUCUACUUGAAACCUUAGUGACCCAGUGAAACACUUAUGGAAAAUUAGGGCUACCUUGGUAAAUAUAGAAACUAAUUUUAGAAGAUCUGUAAUCUGAUAAGAUUCGAUUUUGUAAUCUUAAAGGAUUGAGUCAAUCUUUUAAGACUCUCAAUUGUAGAUAAUAGGCUUUAAUCUCAACCGUUGAUGUAACUCAAUUUGUACCGUCAGCUUUAGGGGAGCUCAACUGUAAAUAGAGGUCUUCCCCCUCAUUUGUAAUCAUCCAUUGUAUCCAAUUCUUUGUAUUUUUUGAGUAAUAAGAAUACUUUUAGAGCAUUUACUCAAACACUUGGCGUGCUUUUGCUUUCUUGUGGCAUUUUAUGUUCUUUCGUUGAUCUUUCAUUUUGAGUUGCUUCCACUUUAAUUUUCAGUGUCUUGGAGAAUUUUUGUGAGAAUUCUCACUUUACGAGAGUUAGGCUGACUUAGGCGAAUUUGAAACUAAGAAAUCGCCUAAGCUCGCAUGGACUGUAAAACUAAAAUUCUAACUCUGUGACAAUUGGUAUCUGAGCUAAGGUUUCAAAGGCACCAAUUGAGAUGACGAAAGGAGUAAACGAUCAGAUUAAGCCAAUGGAGACCCGUGGGAGGUCUAGGAAAGAUAGUUGAUUGAUGGACAUGUUGUUGGCUUUGGAAGGGCGAGUGAUCAAUCUUGACGAAUCCAUGGGGGAUAUGAGUGAGACACUUGAGGUAGUCGAGGGAUGCAUUGCAGAGUUGGACACGAUAGAAGAGAAAAUCAAGGAAGUCGUGUUGGAGUCUCUCGGUUCCAAUGUGGAAGAGAUGCUAGGGGUGCUCAAUUCUACUACAGAUAAGCCGACAAUGGGAGAUAAUGCUCUUGAGGUCAUGGUGAUAGCUUUGAAGGAGGAAAAAAUGGCUAAGACGAGGGGUUUGAGCACAAGAAUUGAAGAGCUCUAGGGAGAGCUUGUUGUGUGUCGAGUCGUCGUGGGUAAAUGAGUGUUGGGUGCAACACUAAACUGCGAGAUAGAUAUCUCCAAAUCGAAGAUGUUCAAGAGAGUAAGGUUUGUAAGGGAAGUGAACAACUUUUUGUCGAAGAUGGAGCAAUACUUUCGUGUCGAGGACAUUAAGGAUGAUAAUGCUAAGGUAAAUACUAUUGCUAGAUAUUUUAUUAAUUUUGCUCUUCUUUGGUGGAAGCGUAGGUCCACAAAUGAAAAACGUGGUCAAGCUGUGAUUGGGACUUGGGAGGAGUUCCAAAAUGAGUUCAAUGAGCAGUUUUACCCCUAAUAUGUUGAGAAACAGGCUCGAUCUAAGUUGCGUCGGUUCUCGCAACAAGGCUUGUUGAGAGUAUGUGAAGGAGUUCAAUGAACUGAUGCUCCAAAUCAUGGAUUUAAAUGAGACGGAGGCAUUCUUCCAUUUCAUGGAUGAGUUGAAGCCAUAGGUCAAACAAGAAUUAGAAUGUCGAGUGGUCCAAAAACUUUUAAAAGCUAUGAUCAUGAUAGAGUCCUUGGUCGAACUUGUUUCGAGGAAAAACAAGUUAGAGUUUUCUUAACCCAAGGAUAAGGGCAAUAAUGGGGAAGAUAAAGAAGGACAAGUUGAGUACAACAAUAAUUGUGGCAAUGAGAAACCAUGAAAUGGGAGGGGAAAACCCAACAACUUGAAGGAAAAGAAGAG
This 15187-nucleotide long non-coding RNA is filed under the name Gossypium barbadense (sea-island cotton). RNAcentral describes it as "long non-coding RNA (GBAR_LNC021868)". The record is from RNAcentral. Lineage: Eukaryota; Viridiplantae; Streptophyta; Magnoliopsida; Malvales; Malvaceae.